UACGUAGGGGGCGAGCGUUGUCCGGAGUUACUGGGCGUAAAGCGCACGCAGGCGGUCUGUUAAGUUUGGAGUGACAGUUGGUGGCUUAACUGCCAAAGUGCUUCGAAAACUGACAGACUUGAGGGCUUCAGAGGGACACGGAAUUCCGGGUGGAGUGGUGAAAUGCGUAGAUAUCCGGAGGAAUACCAAAGGCGAAGGCAGUGUCCUGGCUGGCAACUGACGCUGAGGCGCGAAAGCUAGGGGAGCGAACAGG
RNAcentral lists this ribosomal RNA (253 nucleotides) under uncultured bacterium. RNAcentral's name for it is "partial 16S ribosomal RNA". It matches the Rfam family "Bacterial small subunit ribosomal RNA", at positions 524 to 776 of the family's 1533-position model. The record is from RNAcentral.